Molecule: unclassified non-coding RNA, 438 nt
Filed under: Hevea brasiliensis (rubber tree)
Lineage: Eukaryota; Viridiplantae; Streptophyta; Magnoliopsida; Malpighiales; Euphorbiaceae
Source: RNAcentral
UUUUGGGAUAAAGGUUUAGUUGAGCUGAGUAUUAUGGUUACACAAAACAAUCAUAGAUCCCAGCUCAAUGUGAAAAAUGUCAAUUUCAAUGUUGGUAAUGCCACACAAAAAUACCCAAUCAAUGGAUGUUAAAGAUAAAAAAAGUAUAACAAGAGAUCAGCUUUUAUAAGAUUAGCAGGCACUUGUUGACAGAUCCUUCAAGCACAAUAAGCAUGUAUCUAUAUAAAUCAAACAGGCCAUUUUCUGGAUUUCAUUCUUAUGCUUCACACAUCACUAGAGAAGUUACCGACUCACAUUCUAAUAGUCCAAGGCAUACGGAAUUUUAGAGUUAAAAUGAAUAAAAAUAGCUUUUUUUCACCUGAAACCCCUACUGUGAAAAUAAAUGACAGAUCAGAAAUUCACCUGGAGGGAGACGCAUGAAGAAAGUUCAACUGGCAG